This 442-nucleotide ribosomal RNA is filed under the name uncultured Erysipelothrix sp. Its description in RNAcentral is "bacterial SSU rRNA". It matches the Rfam family "Bacterial small subunit ribosomal RNA", at positions 933 to 1382 of the family's 1533-position model. Lineage: Bacteria; Bacillati; Bacillota; Erysipelotrichia; Erysipelotrichales; Erysipelotrichaceae. The record is from RNAcentral.
UGGAUUAUGUGUUAAUUCGACGCAACGCGAAGAACCUUACCAGGCCUUGACAUACUCGGCAAAGCUCUAGAGAUAGAGUGGAGGUUAUCCGGGAUACAGGUGGUGCAUGGUUGUCGUCAGCUCGUGUCGUGAGAUGUUGGGUUAAGUCCCGCAACGAGCGCAACCCUUGUCUUUAGUUACCAUCAUUCAGUUGGGGACUCUAGAGAGACUGCCGGUGAUAAACCGGAGGAAGGUGGGGAUGACGUCAAAUCAUCAUGCCCCUUAUGGCCUGGGCUACAAACGUAAUACAAUGGCGUAUACAAAGGGAUGCGAAAGGGCGACCUGGAGCAAAACUCACAAAGUACGUCUCAGUUCAGAUUGGAGUCUGCAACUCGACUCCAUGAAGGCGGAAUCGCUAGUAAUCGCGGAUCAGCAUGCCGCGGUGAAUACGUUCCCGGGUCUU